AAAUAAAUAGAGCAUUUUGAAACAAAUUAAAUUAAUCAGUUUAAGGGAUGUACACAAUUAUUUUAAAUCAGUCUGAACUAAAUCCAUACAACCUUAAAAGAGCUCAAUUCAUUUGUGUCGAAACAACAAAAAAUAAUGAUUCAAGUCAAACUACUACUUUUGCGCAUGCGCUAAUGACAGGAAAUCCACGUGACCUCGUCAGUUAUCGCGGGCGCCAUUAUGUGGUGGAGUCCAGUCCAUGGUGGAAUGCUGUAGAAUUGGUUUUUACAAGAGCUCAUUAAAUGAUAUCCUAUACUUGGGUUAUAGUCUACUUUUUCACAUGGUUUACAAGAGCAAUAAACAGCAUCCCAUGCUUGGGUUUUAGUAAACUUUUUCAUGUGAACAACAGCGUAGACAUGGAAAGAGAAUGCAUCCUCAAAAAGCACUGUGUGUAUACUUAGAGGACCAUCUACAGCUGUUCAAGGAGUACAAUAAAACGUGCAAAUACUGAGUUCUCUUUCAAGUCUUGUGCUUCAGAGGCCAAAUUCGUACAAAAAUUAUAUCAACAUGACUGUCUUGGAUUGCGACUGGAUGAAUUCUAAAGAAGCCAUAGAGCAGAUGGUAAUGGGGAUCUACAUCGUCCAAUUCAUAGACACCAACCAGGGGAUAAACCUGUGGACGUUGGUAUCCUGAUUGAAGGGACUGAGGUUCUCUGCUCUUUGAAGAACGUGUAGCAGUGGCCAUGCUGUUUGGACUUACUUACGCCUUGAACCUCAGCUACCCACAAGAACUCAAGGCUACAUUUGAGGUCCUCCAGAAAGUGUUCUUUAUCUUGGAUGGACAAAAACUUUCACUAAAGGUACCAGCCCUUAAGAACAAGAUGUUGGAGUAAGUUACCUUAUGUGUGUAUUCUCAAAAGACUAAAUCUUGACUCAAGAAGGUAUUAGCUGUGCAUAUACAUUGAAAUAUAAUGUUGUUCAUCUUGGAUGAUAUUUUUUUGUAUUUUUUUACCUGAAAAUUUGCCUUGAAAUAAGAAUAAAGAGAAACUUUUGACAUUCACUUUGAGAACAUUUUAUUUGUGCAGUAAAUUACAUUUUGAUAGACAUGUCAACAAUUAAACAUUUGUUUGAUGUAAAUAAAGUUGUACAAUUAACUUAACAAUAGUAGUUGACACAAUAUUUCUGGUUUUCUAAAUUAAGUGAUUAAGAUUAAUUGGCUCAACAAGAUUAAAUAGUUUAUAGAUAAAUACGAUAAUAUGAUUCAAAUGAAAAUGAUUUGAUCUUGUUGGUUCAAAAUGAAUUUUGCUCUUGGGUUCCAUUUGCCUAAAUUAAGUUGAGACAACACCAUUCAAAUGUGUGGAAAUAGGUGUCAUAAUUAUAUUAAGUUAGACCAACGAUUUAUUUUUUUGAGUGUGCUUCCAUUUAAUCUAAUAAACAAAAAGGAUGUGUGAGAACUUCUAAGACCUCCAACCACGCAAAAUCACACAGGCUUGGUCUUAAAAGGUUGUCAUUAAAGCACAAUGUUUUGUGUUGGAGGUUUC
Molecule: long non-coding RNA, 1519 nt
Organism: Carassius auratus (goldfish)
Lineage: Eukaryota; Metazoa; Chordata; Actinopteri; Cypriniformes; Cyprinidae
Exons: 6
Source: RefSeq, a predicted model, not a curated record